This is a non-coding RNA of Megalobrama amblycephala (Wuchang bream), 354 nucleotides long. The record is from the annotation of a RefSeq genome assembly. Lineage: Eukaryota; Metazoa; Chordata; Actinopteri; Cypriniformes; Xenocyprididae.
AUGUGGUUUAUGAAAGAAAGCAGUGAUGUGAAUUUCUCUGGUCCCGCAGUGAAGCCCUCCGUGUCUCUGCUGCCGCCCUCUUCUCUGCAGAUCUCUGGAGACUCAGCCGCACUGCUCUGCCUGCUCAGCUCUUACUCUCCACAGGGGGCGACGGUGAGCUGGACGCUGGACGGGUCAGAGGUCAGCGAGGGGGUUCAGACCAGCGCAGAGAGCGAGCGGGACGGACGCUACAGCCGCAGCAGCGUCCUGAGCCUCAGCAAAGCACGCUGGGAAGGCGCGGAUCGCUUCGUCUGCAGAGUAAGACAUGACGGAGCUGAUCACGAGGCCUCGUUCCUCAAGAGCUCCCAGUGCUGA